Molecule: RNA transcript, 1829 nt
Organism: Olea europaea var. sylvestris
Lineage: Eukaryota; Viridiplantae; Streptophyta; Magnoliopsida; Lamiales; Oleaceae
Gene name: ribosome biogenesis protein WDR12 homolog
Exons: 14
Source: RefSeq, a predicted model, not a curated record
AAUACAGUUAAAACCCUGGCCACUUCCCCCAUCUCAAAACCCUAGUCUCUGCCUCCUCCGCCACCUGCCACCACCGUCCGUGUUUAUCUGGACUACAGUACCGGACGCACUUCACACAAGUAGACGAACAUGGAUAUUGACGGCGUAGAAGAGUCGUCGAGGCAGGUGCAAGUCCGAUUUGUAACAAAGUUAAAGCCACCAUAUAAAGCGCCUCCAACUACCCUUGCCAUUCCCACGAAUAUCACCCGCUUGCGCCUUUCCGAUAUAGUCAACAAUAUCCUCGAGGCUGGCUUUGACGAUUGGCAGUACCAGCCUUUUGAUUUUCUAAUCGAUGGAAAAUUUCUUCGAAUAUCGCUUGAAGAUUUUCUUGUUGCCAAAGGCAUUUCUGCUGAAAGAGUGAUAGAAAUUGAAUACGUCAAAGUUGUGGCCCCGAGAAGAGAAGAUAUUUCUUUACAUGAUGAUUGGGUUAGUGCCGCCGAUGGAUCACAUGACGGGUACAUUUUGACUGGAUGCUAUGAUGGUUUGGGAAGGAUAUGGAAAGAUGCUGGAAUUUGUACACAUGUAUUAGAAGGGCAUACUGGUCCCGUUACUUCAGUUUGUGUCAUCAAGCUAAAAGUUGAGAAUGCUUUCAAUCUAGUAGCUACUGCUUCUAAAGACAGGUCUCUUAGGUUAUGGAAGAUUGAUGCAGGAGAGUUGGCUCAACCAAAAAAGACACGAGCAUUUAAGAUAUUAAAAGGUCAUAAUGCUGCUGUGCAGAGCAUUGCUUCACAGCCUUCUGGGGAGAUGCUGUGUUCGGGUUCCUGGGACUCUGCAAUCAACUUGUGGCGGGCAAAUGGUUCUGAUGCUGGAGGGGAUAUAGUUUCAGUGAAGAGGAAAAAAAGUCGCGGAGAUGAGGAACCUCAAUCUGAGGAGGAGGCUGUAUCUACUCUUGUGGGGCACACACAAUGUGUCUCUUCUUUAGUCUGGCCGCAACACGAGACAAUUUAUUCAGCAUCAUGGGAUCAUUCUAUUAGAAGAUGGGAUGUUGAGACUGGCAAAGAUUCUCUAAACAUGUUCUGUGGGAAGGCUAUCAAUUGUCUGGAUAUUGGAGGUGAAAGUUCUGCCCUCAUUGCAGCUGGAGGUUCUGACCCUAUAAUUCGGAUAUGGGAUCCUCGCAAACCAGGUCUCCCUCUCUCUGGACGCAUGCAUGUGUUUAUAUACGUGCAAGGAAAUAUGAUCCUAUCUUUCAAUUUUCGGGACAUAAUUCAUGGAUUUCUUCUUGCAAAUGGCACAAUAAAUCAUGGUUUCACUUGGUCUCUGCAUCAUACGAUGGAAAAGUUAUGAUAUGGGAUCUGAGAGCUGCGUUUCCACUGCAUGUGAUUGAGUCGCAUAAGAAUAAGGUGUUGUGUGCUGACUGGUGGAAAGAUGACAGCGUGAUAAGUGGUGGUGUGGACUCAAAACUUUGCAUCUCGUCUGGAAUUUCUGUGGAGUGAUCAAGCCAAGAAAUCGUUGCAUUGGCUUUUCCAUCAAACAUGGCGUAGCUGUUUACCUACGUAUAAUUCUGGGCUGUCAGUCGAAUUUUUGUUUUUAUAAUUUAUUUAUACACAAAUUAAAAACCAUGGUCCGUUUUAGCUUAUUCCAAAUCUUAAUAUCUUCUUCGGAUGAAAUUUUUUUUCCGCACACCCUUGUCCCUAGAUGACGAAUAAUCGUGCCUCUGUCGACUACAAGUCUUUUGUGAAGUCCCCAUGGUUUUCGAUUAUUUUUGAAGUCUACCAAAAGUACGUAGAUUUACCAAAAUUGUAUCAAAGCCAUUUUAUCUUAUAAAUACAAUGGAAAAUUUGUUUGGAUAA